AAAAGAAACGCAAUUUCUGGAUUAUUUCCCAAAUUGAAUUUUGCAGUUUUGGAUGGAUUGAAGUGUGCCAAUUCACGUGAAUGAAUGGGUGAAGCAUGAAGGUUUCAGUGGCUACCGUUAGCAAUUUAGCAUCACUGACCAUGCUCAGAUUAUUUCCUCCAAAUAUUUAGUGGUAAUUCUGAUGUCUGAUAAUAACUUUGGUAAUUCCAUUAAUUUGAAUUCAAUAUUGUAUAAUUAUGAAUUUGCUCUUGAAGCUGAAAAUCUCUCUACUGGAUGUGUUGUGUCCCCUCGGAAUAGAUUGCUAAUGUGCUCUGAGUAUGCAAAAUUAGAUAAUCCUCAUUGACUGUUUUAGAUAUUAGAUACACAGAAUAUGCUUUAGCAUGAUUCCAUUAUCCAUUUUAAGGACAUAUAUAAACGAUAGCUUAAUUGCUUUUUCCCGUAUAUGAUAACAAUAGCUCUUGUAUCUGUGCAGUUAUCAUGAUCUACUGUUUACAGAACCAUCUUGGUGAAAUCCUUGAGCUUAAUUCCAAGCUUACUGAAGCUCCUGGCAUGGUAAUUCUCUUAUUCAACUAUGUACAACUGCUUUAAUUUCUUUCUUGAUGCUGAGAAACUAUAAGGAAAAUAAAAAGAAAAGUAAACAAUAUUUUACCCUGGCAUCUCACUUUUAACAUCUUUGCCAUCGAAGAACAACUCAAGCCGAUAGUCCAAUCAGGAUUAGAAUCCUUGAUGGGUCCUCAGGACUGAACCAAAUUCUGUUAGGAAGGAAAUGCGCUUCCCACUAAAAUUUUCGACUAUUAUUUCCAAUUUUAUUAUGGAAAGAGGCUAUUUUUUUUUUUUUUUAUUGAAAAUGACUGAUUUUAGCAAAACGCGUCCAUGUAGGAGUGUUUUUGGGAGAAAUUCAGCAAAACGCGUCCCUGGAGUAGCGAUUUUGCCAUGUCAGCACAAAAUGCGCCCGGAUGCGCUUUGCUGACGUGGCAAAAUCUCUCCCCCAGGAACGCGUUUUAGCCAGUGUUUUUUUCCCAAUGGCUAUUUGAUUUUUUGACCGUUGGGGGGUCCAACGGUAAAAAAAAAAACCUAUAAAACUCCUCCCUCCUAUUUUUCACAAAUAUUUCUUCAAUUUUCUCUCAAAUUUCUCAAAACUCUCUUAAUUUUGGCAAAAAGCUCUUUAUUUUUUUAUAAUUUCAAAAAUAUUUGAGCACGUUAGCAAUGGCCGAGAAAUUAAUUCGUCUCGAUCAUAAACAUAUCUUCGUCGUACAAAUGAAAAUGGUAAGAGUUAAUUUUAAUUUUCAAUAUUAUUUAAUAUUUUUUCAUUUAUGUAAAUUUAAUUAAUUUUUAUUUUAUAAUUUUUAUAACAGUUUGUAGAUCGGGUGUUACAAUGCUAUAUUCGUUAUAUGUCUGGUCCUCCAUCACUGUUGAUAGAGAAUUACUUGCGGGAAGCGGGUUUUUGACACUUAACC
Molecule: long non-coding RNA, 1457 nt
Filed under: Gossypium barbadense (sea-island cotton)
Lineage: Eukaryota; Viridiplantae; Streptophyta; Magnoliopsida; Malvales; Malvaceae
Description: long non-coding RNA (GBAR_LNC018743)
Source: RNAcentral